Molecule: long non-coding RNA, 629 nt
Organism: Helianthus annuus (common sunflower)
Lineage: Eukaryota; Viridiplantae; Streptophyta; Magnoliopsida; Asterales; Asteraceae
Exons: 3
Source: RefSeq, a predicted model, not a curated record
CAUGGCAUGAAGAUAAUGAAUCUUGACUUUUUAGCACACGAAGAUUAUACUUAUCCAUCACCUCAUAUGUUACCAUUAUUUCUCAACAUUUCAAACACAAAGAAACCCUCCUACAUCUCUCCCAUUCACGGCACAUUCCACACACAUACAUACCCUCAUUUUCUUCACUUAAACACUACAUUUCAAGCAUUACAUAACCCUUUCUUGAAGAUCAAAGAAGGUUCAAGCCAUAAGGAAGCACUUUGGAGCUUUUAUCUUCUCUUAAUCUUCAUCUAAACAUUGUGCAAAGUUGUUAUUACGCGCUAAUUGGAUACCCGAACUGCUAGCAUACAUACGGACGCAAACUUGUAACUAAGUGGAUCUUGGUGCAACAAAUUAUGAAGUUUCAAGUUUACUAUGAAGACGAUGUCAUCCGUAUUUUGGAGGGUUUGAUCCAUAUAUCCCGUCUUCGAACGGGACAUAGGAUGCAAAACCUCGUUAUUUCAAAAACUUUAUUUUGAACAAGUCUUGUUUGUAGAACUUAUAAACUUAUGUUGUCUUUUGCUACAAAACAACUUUUGACUUGUAUCUUUACAUUAUGGAAUGGAUGAACAUCGUGUAUGUUUUAUAUCAUAUAGUUUGUUUACUUA